AGGUUCGGUGAAGUCCCAGAUCAUGGCCCAGGGCAUGCGGGGCAGAUCACACAGCUUAAUGCAGAUAAGUAACAAGAUAUUGGAAGACAAGUGUUGAAGAUGAAAGAGGCACAAGAUAGAAGAAACCUGGGUCCUUAGAUCCCUGCUUGAAGGAAAACCACUUGCCAAUCCAGAACAUCAUUUUGGACUUCAUAUGAGUGAGAAGCAAUCCUGUAUCAUGUUUGAGCCAUUAAGAGUAUUUUGGUUGUUUGUUCUGAUAGCUGCUGGGCGCAGUGGCUCACGUCUGUAAACCCAGCACUUUGGGAGGCCGACGCAGGCGGAUCACAAGGUCAGGAGAUCAAGACCAUCCUGGCUAACACGUUCAUAUGAGGUAUUAUGUCACCAAUGAGCAGGGACUAUGAUGAAUGUGUCUUUAGAACACCCAAUGAAGUGCCACUUGCCACAAGAAGGUGGGAUCAUUACUUGCCAGCCUUCUAGCUGAUGCCAGUGACAACAGCACGACAGGCUGAACUGGAUUCUUUAUGACUAUGUAUUCAUUAGGGGGAAAAAGCACUUCCAAUGCAAAUGACGGAAAUGGAAACAAGAUGUGCACUCUGCUGCCUAAAUGAAAGCUCUACCAGGUAGGCCGUUCACACUAAGAGUAGCCAAACAGGGUCUGUCAGGACAGUGGCUGCAACCCCUGUCACAGAGAAUGGACAGUGAGAGGUCCAAAUGGAUUGGGGGGCAUGAAUGGCACCUGACUUACAGCAGGAGCUCAGCACUUUUACUGUCUUUGCCGCUUCACUGGAACAAGGAGAAAAAGACAUUAGGAUGAAGGAUAAUGUGUGAUACACACAUAAAGAUGAAAGCGAGAGGGACACAUGCAAUGUCAUUUAUUGGAAGGACCACUUUAGGCUGCUCUGUCCUCUCCCCUUAAAACAUGCUCCACAUUGUUUUAACCAUCUGUGGCCCACUCUGGAGCUCAAGGAACCGUGGCCUUUCUGCUUUAUUGUGAGCACAGCCAUAUGAAACUGCAAUCUGGCAGCUGAAGGGGAAAGUACUUUUACUGUCUCUACUAAGAAAGGGUUUGGAUGAAUCGAAUCCCCUGUUAUGCAUGAAAUUGUACCCCCUAGAAAGCUCUGUUUAUGACCCAACCCACGGUACCUGUGAAUGUGACCUUAUUUGAAAAUACGGUCUUAUAGAUGUAAUCAAGCAAAGAUGAGGUGACAGUGAAUUAGGAUGGGCCUCAGCCAACAUGACUGGUGUCCUUAUGAGAAGCAAGGAAGAGAUAUAAGGAGAACAUGGUGUGACAAUUGAGACAGAGAUUGGAGUGAUGCAUCUACAAGCCAAAAAAUGUCAAGAGCUGUGAGUCACACCAGAAGCUAAGAGAAAGGCGUGGGACUGACCCUCCCCUAGAGCCAUCAGAAAGAGUCUGACCCUGGUGACACCUUGAUUUUGGACUUCUAGCCUCCAGAAUUAUGAGAAUAAAUUUGUGUUGCUUUAAGCCACUCCGUUUGUGGUAAUUUGUUAUGACAGUUCUAAGAAACUAAUCCACCCUGCUAAAGAGUAAAUGUCCAAUGCAAAACUUACUACAAGGAUGAAAAGGCUGAGAUAUUCCGAAGAGUCAUAAUGAACUGUGCCAUCAUCUACAAGGAAGUGCAGCACUGCAACAAUUCAAGAUAGAUCCUGGAGGCGUGGCAGGACAGAUGUGCCCACCAGACCAGGAGCACUUUCAGGACAGCAUCAUGCCUUGUUCUCCUCCACAUCCCUCCCUCUGUGCCUGAAAACCAGAAAUGCUCAAUUAAAUGUUGAAAAUGUCAA
RNAcentral lists this long non-coding RNA (1800 nucleotides) under Macaca fascicularis (crab-eating macaque). RNAcentral describes it as "lncRNA (ENSMFAG00000054045.1)". The record is from RNAcentral. Lineage: Eukaryota; Metazoa; Chordata; Mammalia; Primates; Cercopithecidae.